RNAcentral lists this ribosomal RNA (710 nucleotides) under Roseovarius sp. RNAcentral's name for it is "bacterial SSU rRNA". It matches the Rfam family "Bacterial small subunit ribosomal RNA", at positions 41 to 799 of the family's 1533-position model. The record is from RNAcentral. Lineage: Bacteria; Pseudomonadati; Pseudomonadota; Alphaproteobacteria; Rhodobacterales; Roseobacteraceae.
GGGGGACCUAACACAUGCAGUCGAGCGAGAACUUCGGUUCUAGCGGCGGACGGGUUAGUAACGCGUGGGAACGUGCCCUUCACUACGGAAUAGUCCCGGGAAACUGGGUUUAAUACCGUAUACGCCCUUCGGGGGAAAGAAUUUCGGUGAAGGAUCGGCCCGCGUUAGAUUAGAUAGUUGGUGGGGUAACGGCCUACCAAGUCUACGAUCUAUAGCUGGUUUUAGAGGAUGAUCAGCAACACUGGGACUGAGACACGGCCCAGACUCCUACGGGAGGCAGCAGUGGGGAAUCUUAGACAAUGGGCGCAAGCCUGAUCUAGCCAUGCCGCGUGAGUGAUGAAGGCCUUAGGGUCGUAAAGCUCUUUCGCCAGGGAUGAUAAUGACAGUACCUGGUAAAGAAACCCCGGCUAACUCCGUGCCAGCAGCCGCGGUAAUACGGAGGGGGUUAGCGUUGUUCGGAAUUACUGGGCGUAAAGCGCGCGUAGGCGGAUUGGAAAGUUGGGGGUGAAAUCCCAGGGCUCAACCCUGGAACUGCCUCCAAAACUAUCAGUCUAGAGUUCGAGAGAGGUGAGUGGAACUCCGAGUGUAGAGGUGAAAUUCGUAGAUAUUCGGAAGAACACCAGUGGCGAAGGCGGCUCACUGGCUCGAUACUGACGCUGAGGUGCGAAAGUGUGGGGAGCAAACAGGAUUAGAUACCCUGGUAGUCCACA